RNAcentral lists this ribosomal RNA (253 nucleotides) under uncultured bacterium. RNAcentral describes it as "partial 16S ribosomal RNA". It matches the Rfam family "Bacterial small subunit ribosomal RNA", at positions 524 to 776 of the family's 1533-position model. The record is from RNAcentral.
GACGAAGGUGGCGAGCGUUGUUCGGAAUCACUGGGCAUAAAGCGCACGUAGGCGGCGACGUAAGUUGGGUGUGAAAUCCCCCGGCCCAACCGGGGAACUGCGCCCAGUACUGCGUUGCUUGAGGAUCCAAGGGGUGCAUGGAAUUCCCGGUGGAGCGGUGAAAUGCGUUGAUAUCGGGAGGAACUCCGGCGGCGAAAGCGGUGCACUGGUGGAUUACUGACGCUGAGGUGCGAAAGCCAGGGGAGCGAACGGG